UACGUAGGAGGCGAGCGUUGUCCGGAAUUACUGGGCGUAAAGCGCGUGUAGGCGGUCUGAAUAGUCUGCUGUGAAAGCGCCUGGCUUAACCGGGCGAGGUCGGCGGAAACUCUCAGACUGGAGGCCGGUAGAGGGGGGUGGAAUUCCCGGUGUAGUGGUGAAAUGCGUAGAGAUCGGGAGGAACACCUGUGGCGAAGGCGGCCCCCUGGGCCGCGCCUGACGCUGAGACGCGAAGGCGUGGGGAGCGAACGGG
RNAcentral lists this ribosomal RNA (253 nucleotides) under uncultured bacterium. Its description in RNAcentral is "partial 16S ribosomal RNA". It matches the Rfam family "Bacterial small subunit ribosomal RNA", at positions 524 to 776 of the family's 1533-position model. The record is from RNAcentral.